UCUCCUGUGGUUGUGGCGUUCAGGGUCCCGUGUCAGGCAGAGACGAAAUACCGCAGAGUAUCAGGCGCUCCUUACCCGGCCAAUGCCGUAUGAAAUGGAUUUUUAGAAUGAUCUUUAUGAAAAUUGGUUAAAAUGGAAAAGAGAGAUAAGCUGCUGCUUUUCUGCAAAUUUCCCUUAUCUGAAAGAUGUCGGCCCCACCAUACAGGAUGAGUGACUCCAGCUGAUGGAUGGGUCGAAAUGAAACAGAAAUUGGGGUUCGAACACUGGGUCUUCAGCAGCCAAGGUAACUAGAACACAAUAAAUGCUCAAUAAACCCCUUCUUUACCAGCACAAAUGAAGGACGGCGUUCAAACCUUGUACUUCAUGUCAGAAAGCCAGACUCUCAAGUAUUUCCAUGGGGUAAUAAUUGGUCACAGAAACAUAUUGAUAUACGUGGCAUCCGGUUGACUGGAGAUGGUGUAAAACAAACAGUUGGCAAAUGGACUCCUGAAGAAAGGAAUUCCAUAAAGUCCACAAAACUAACAAGCGGACAGUGGGACCUGCUUUGCUAGUGGCAUUUGGUGUGGCAGCGUGGCUCAACAACAGAGAAGCAAAGAAACUUAGAUCGAGACUCCAGCCAAUGACAGUCUGUGACACCCAAAGGAGCAGAAUGCUGGGUGGAUUCUGAGGAGAAACAAGGCUGGAAGGAGCCUGAGGAA
This is a long non-coding RNA of Fukomys damarensis (Damara mole-rat), 698 nucleotides long. RefSeq lists it as uncharacterized. The record is from RefSeq and is a predicted model, not a curated record. The transcript has 3 exons. Lineage: Eukaryota; Metazoa; Chordata; Mammalia; Rodentia; Bathyergidae.